Molecule: ribosomal RNA, 253 nt
Filed under: uncultured bacterium
Lineage: Bacteria
Description: partial 16S ribosomal RNA
Rfam family: Bacterial small subunit ribosomal RNA
Source: RNAcentral
UACGGAGGGUGCAAGCGUUAUCCGGAUUCACUGGGUUUAAAGGGUGCGUAGGCGGGCAGGUAAGUCCGUGGUGAAAUCUCCGGGCUUAACCCGGAAACUGCCGUUGAUACUAUCUGUCUUGAAUAUCGUGGAGGUAAGCGGAAUAUGUCAUGUAGCGGUGAAAUGCUUAGAUAUGACAUAGAACACCGAUUGCGAAGGCAGCUUACUACACGAUCAUUGACGCUGAGGCACGAAAGCGUGGGGAGCAAACAGG